Molecule: ribosomal RNA, 468 nt
Filed under: uncultured bacterium
Lineage: Bacteria
Description: partial 16S ribosomal RNA
Rfam family: Bacterial small subunit ribosomal RNA
Source: RNAcentral
GACGAACGCUGGCGGCGUGCUUAACACAUGCCAGUCGAACGGAAAGGCCCUGCUUUUGUGGGGUGCUCGAGUGGCGAACGGGUGAGUAACACGUGAGUAACCUGCCCUUGACUUUGGGAUAACUUCAGGAAACUGGGGCUAAUACCGGAUAGGAGCUCCUGCUGCAUGGUGGGGGUUGGAAAGUUUCGGCGGUUGGUGGUGUACUCGCGGCUUAUCAGCUUGUUGGUGGGGUAGUGGCUUGCCAAGGCUUAGACGGGUCGCCGUCCUGAUAGGGUGAACGGGAACAAUAGGACUGAGAAAGGGCCCAGUAGACGACAGGGCGGAAUGGGGGCGAACAUGUUGCAAAGGGACGGAGCCCGUGACAACGAACCCAGGGGCGGGAAGACCGCCUUUGGGUUAGAAACCGAUUUAGGCUAUGACGAAGCGGGAGUGACGGUAACGGGAAAAGAAGCACCGGCUAACUACGUG